CAGGGUACUCGAGUGGCGAACGGGUGAGUAACACGUGGGUGAUCUGCCCUGCACUUCGGGAUAAGCUUGGGAAACUGGGUCUAAUACCGGAUAGGAACCAUCUUUAGUGUGGUGGUUGGAAAGUUUUUUCGGUGUAGGAUGAGCUCGCGGCCUAUCAGCUUGUUGGUGGGGUAAUGGCCUACCAGGGCGGCGACGGGUAGCCGGCCUGAGAGGGUGUACGGCCACAUUGGGACUGAGAUACGGCCCAG
RNAcentral lists this ribosomal RNA (248 nucleotides) under uncultured Actinomycetales bacterium. Its description in RNAcentral is "partial 16S ribosomal RNA". It matches the Rfam family "Bacterial small subunit ribosomal RNA", at positions 83 to 334 of the family's 1533-position model. The record is from RNAcentral. Lineage: Bacteria; Bacillati; Actinomycetota; Actinomycetes; Actinomycetales.